UAGCCUUGUAUUCAAUAAUGAUAUUUGAUUGCAAAUCUAAAGGAGCUUAAUGGCUAAGGCUUA
Molecule: transfer RNA, 63 nt
Filed under: Sivaloka damnosus
Lineage: Eukaryota; Metazoa; Arthropoda; Insecta; Hemiptera; Issidae
Description: tRNA-Cys
Source: RNAcentral